GACGAACGCUGGCGGCGUGCCUAAUACAUGCAAGUUGAACGAAGUUUUCUCCCGAGGUACUUGUACCUCAUUUGAAAACUUAGUAGCGAACGGGUGAGUAACACGUGGGUAACCUGCCCAUUAGAGGGGGAUAACACUUGGAAACAGGUGCUAAUACCGCAUAACAAUGGACUCCGCAUGGAGACUAUUUGAAAGGCGCAAUUGCGUCACUAAUGGAUGGACCCGCGCUGUAUUAGCUAGUUGGUGAGGUAAUGGCUCACCAAGGCUACGAUACAUAGCCGACCUGAGAGGGUGAUCGGCCACACUGGGACUGAGACACGGCCCAAACUCCUACGGGAGGCUGCAGUAGGGAAUCUUCGGCAAUGGGGGCAACCCUGACCGAGCAACGCCGCGUGAGUGAAGAAGGUUUUCGGAUCGUAAAACUCUGUUGUUAGAGAAAGAAUGGUCGGCAGAGUAACUGUUGUCGGCGUGACGGUAUCCAACCAGAAAGCCACGGCUAACUACGUGCCAGCAGCCGCGGUAAUACGUAGGUGGCAAGCGUUAUCCGGAAUUAUUGGGCGUAAAGCGCACGCAGGCGGUCUGUCAAGUCGGAUGUGAAAUCCCCCGGCUCAACCGGGGAGGGUCAUUGGAAACCGGGCAGCUAGAGUGCAGGAGAGGAUCGUGGAAUUCCAUGUGUAGCGGUGAAAUGCGUAGAUAUAUGGAGGAACACCAGUGGCGAAGGCGGCUCUCUGGUCUGUAACUGACGCUGAGGCUCGAAAGCGUGGGGAGCAAACAGGAUUAGAUACCCUGGUAGUCCACGCCGUAAACGAUGAGUGCUAAGUGUUGGAGGGUUUCCGCCCUUCAGUGCUGCAGCAAACGCAUUAAGCACUCCGCCUGGGGAGUACGACCGCAAGGUUGAAACUCAAAGGAAUUGACGGGGGCCCGCACAAGCGGCGGAGCAUGCGGAUUAAUUCGAUGCAACGCGAAGAACCUUACCAGGUCUUGACAUCCUUUGACCACUCUAGAGAUAGAGCUUUCCCUUCGGGGACAAAGUGACAGGUGGUGCAUGGUUGUCGUCAGCUCGUGUUGGGAGAUGUUGGGUUAAGUCCCGCAACGAGCGCAACCCUUAUCGUUAGUUACCAUCAUUAAGUUGGGGACUCUAGCGAGACUGCCGGUGACAAACCGGAGGAAGGUGGGGAUGACGUCAAAUCAUCAUGCCCCUUAUGACCUGGGCUACACACGUGCUACAAUGGAGAGUACAACGAGCCGCAAGCCAGCGAUGGUUAGCAAAUCUCUUAAAGCUCUUCUCAGUUCGGAUUGUAGGCUGCAACUCGCCUACAUGAAGCCGGAAUCGCUAGUAAUCGCGGAUCAGCACGCCGCGGUGAAUACGUUCCCGGGC
This 1378-nucleotide ribosomal RNA is filed under the name human gut metagenome. RNAcentral's name for it is "bacterial SSU rRNA". It matches the Rfam family "Bacterial small subunit ribosomal RNA", at positions 28 to 1379 of the family's 1533-position model. The record is from RNAcentral.